AGCAGCCGCGGUAAUUCCAGCUCCAAUAGCGUAUAUUAAAGUUGUUGCAGUUAAAAAGCUCGUAGUUGAAUUUCGGGAUCAAUUAAUUGGUCGUGCCUCUGGUACGUACUGGUUUUAUUGGUUUCUCCCUUCUGACGAACCAUGAUGUCAUUAAUUUGGUGCCGUGGAGAAUCAGGACUGUUACUUUGAAAAAAUUAGAGUGUUUAAAGCAAGCUAACGCUUGAAUACAUUAGCAUGGAAUAAUGAAAUAGGACGUUUGAUCCUAUUUUGUUGGUUUCUAGGAUCGACGUAAUGAUUAAUAGGGAUAGUUGGGGGCAUUAGUAUUCAAUUGUCAGAGGUGAAAUUCUUGGAUUUAUUGAAGACUAACUACUGCGAAAGCAUUUGCCAAGGAUGUUUUCAUUAAUCAAGAACGAAAGUUAGGGGAUCGAAGACGAUCAGAUACCGUCGUAGUCUUAACCAUAAACUAUGCCGACUAGGGAUCGGAUGAUGUUAAUUUUUUAAUGACUCAUUCGGCGCCUUA
This 520-nucleotide ribosomal RNA is filed under the name uncultured Glomus. RNAcentral's name for it is "SSU rRNA". It matches the Rfam family "Eukaryotic small subunit ribosomal RNA", at positions 569 to 1090 of the family's 1831-position model. The record is from RNAcentral. Lineage: Eukaryota; Fungi; Glomeromycota; Glomeromycetes; Glomerales; Glomeraceae.